Long non-coding RNA from Homo sapiens (human), 772 nucleotides. RefSeq lists it as uncharacterized. The record is from RefSeq and is a predicted model, not a curated record. NCBI's taxonomy places the organism in Eukaryota, Metazoa, Chordata, Mammalia, Primates, Hominidae. The transcript has 4 exons.
AUAGUGGCUAAGAGUUAGGAGGCUAAAGCGACAGGAGCAGAUAACGGGUCCAAUGACCGAUCCCAACAAGCUAAGAGUCAAGGCUAAGUUUUAAGGAGGCUUACUACUGCAGUACUGCUUUUGUAAGAGAGUGCCAAGCAGCUGGGGAAACAUGAUACAAGAGACAUUGGUUUUGGAAAAAAGAAAAAGGCAGAAGCUGGAAGACCCUUGGGGCUACUCAAGUGAAGCAGUAGAAGUGGACAAGGAACAAAAAAAUCUACUCACAGCUGGAGAAAAUUUGUGUCAAGAUGAAUCAUGUUUUGAAUCUUCUCUCAUGUCAGAUUUAGAUAACUGUUUGGACUAUGGACCUCUUAGUUGAUGCUGGAAAGUGUUAAGAUUUUGGGGACUAUUAAGGUGAAAUAAAUGUAUUUUGCAUGUGAGAAAGACAUUAAUUUUGGGGGCUGUGGUGGAGAGCUAUGGCUUGAAUGUGUCCCCUAAGAAGCAUGUGUUGGAAACUUAAUCCCCAGUGCAACAGUGUUGGAAAGUUGGGCGUAAGAAAAGAUGUUUAUGUCAUAAGGGCUCCACCCACAUGAAUGCAUUAUUACUGAUUGUUAAAAGGCUUGAGGCUGCAAGUUUGAUCUCUCUCAUACACAAGCAUAUGUGGUUUCUUGCUCUUCUGUCUUUCACCAUGGGAUGGCUCAGUGAGAAGACUCUAACCAGAUGUAGGCCCCCUUGACUUUGAACUUCUCAGCCUCUCGAGCUGUAAGAAAUAAAUCACUGCUUUUUAAAUAAA